GACAGAGGUGCCGAGCGUUAGGCGGAAUCACUGGGCUUAAAGCGCGUGUAGGCGGGCCGGCACGUCGGUCGCUGAAAUCCCCCGGCUCAACCGGGGAAGGGGCGCCGAUACGACCGGCCUGGAGGGGGGUAGGGGGCGCUGGAACUCACGGUGGAGCGGUGAAAUGCGUUGAGAUCGUGAGGAACGCCCGCGGCGAAAGCGAGCGCCUGGACCCUUUCUGACGCUGAGACGCGAAAGCCAGGGGAGCGAACGGG
RNAcentral lists this ribosomal RNA (254 nucleotides) under uncultured bacterium. RNAcentral describes it as "partial 16S ribosomal RNA". It matches the Rfam family "Bacterial small subunit ribosomal RNA", at positions 524 to 776 of the family's 1533-position model. The record is from RNAcentral.